UACGGAGGGUGCAAGCGUUAUCCGGAUUCACUGGGUUUAAAGGGUGCGUAGGUGGGCUAGUAAGUCAGUGGUGAAAUCUCCGGGCUUAACCCGGAAACUGCCAUUGAUACUAUUAGUCUUGAAUACCAUGGAGGUGAGCGGAAUAUGUCAUGUAGCGGUGAAAUGCGCAGAUAUCAGGAAGAACACCCGUGGCUAAGGCGGCUCUCUAGUACGGUACUGACGCUGAGACGCGAAAGCGUGGGGAGCGAACAGG
RNAcentral lists this ribosomal RNA (253 nucleotides) under uncultured bacterium. RNAcentral's name for it is "partial 16S ribosomal RNA". It matches the Rfam family "Bacterial small subunit ribosomal RNA", at positions 524 to 776 of the family's 1533-position model. The record is from RNAcentral.